UACAGAGGGGGCAAGCGUUGUUCGGAAUUACUGGGCGUAAAGGGCGCGUAGGCGGCCUGCUAAGUCGAACGUGAAAUCCCCGGGCUCAACCCGGGAACUGCAUCCGAAACUGGCAGGCUAGAGUACGGAAGAGGGUCGCGGAAUUCCCGGUGUAGAGGUGAAAUUCGUAGAUAUCGGGAGGAACACCGGUGGCGAAGGCGGCGACCUGGGCCGAUACUGACACUGAGGUGCGAAAGCGUGGGGAGCAAACAGG
Molecule: ribosomal RNA, 253 nt
Filed under: uncultured bacterium
Lineage: Bacteria
Description: partial 16S ribosomal RNA
Rfam family: Bacterial small subunit ribosomal RNA
Source: RNAcentral